UACAGAGGUCUCAAGCGUUGUUCGGAUUCAGUGGGCGUAAAGGGUGCGUAGGUGGCGGGGUAAGUCAGGUGUGAAAUCUCGAGGCUCAACCUCGAAACUGCACUUGAUACUGCCUUGCUAGAGUACUGGAGAGGAGAUUGGAAUUUACGGUGUAGCAGUGAAAUGCGUAGAUAUCGUAAGGAAGACCAGUGGCGAAGGCGAAUCUCUGGACAGUUACUGACACUGAGGCACGAAGGCCAGGGGAGCAAACGGG
This 253-nucleotide ribosomal RNA is filed under the name uncultured bacterium. RNAcentral's name for it is "partial 16S ribosomal RNA". It matches the Rfam family "Bacterial small subunit ribosomal RNA", at positions 524 to 776 of the family's 1533-position model. The record is from RNAcentral.